CCUACGGGUGGCAGCAGUGGGGAAUAUUGGACAAUGGGCGAAAGCCUGAUCCAGCCAUGCCGCGUGUGUGAAGAAGGCCUUCGGGUUGUAAAGCACUUUCAGUGGGGAAGAAAGCCUUGGGGCUAAUACCCUCGAGGAAGGACAUCACCCACAGAAGAAGCACCGGCUAACUCCGUGCCAGCAGCCGCGGUAAUACGGAGGGUGCGAGCGUUAAUCGGAAUUACUGGGCGUAAAGCGCGCGUAGGCGGUCUGAUAAGCCGGUUGUGAAAGCCCCGGGCUCAACCUGGGAACGGCAUCCGGAACUGUCAGGCUAGAGUGCAGGAGAGGAAGGUAGAAUUCCCGGUGUAGCGGUGAAAUGCGUAGAGAUAGGGAGGAAUACCAGUGGCGAAGGCGGCCUUCUGGACUGACACUGACGCUGAGGUGCGAAAGCGUGGGUAGCAAACAGGAUUAGAUACCCCAGUAGUC
RNAcentral lists this ribosomal RNA (465 nucleotides) under Vreelandella stevensii. RNAcentral describes it as "partial 16S ribosomal RNA". It matches the Rfam family "Bacterial small subunit ribosomal RNA", at positions 338 to 795 of the family's 1533-position model. The record is from RNAcentral. Lineage: Bacteria; Pseudomonadati; Pseudomonadota; Gammaproteobacteria; Oceanospirillales; Halomonadaceae.